Molecule: ribosomal RNA, 484 nt
Filed under: uncultured bacterium
Lineage: Bacteria
Description: partial 16S ribosomal RNA
Rfam family: Bacterial small subunit ribosomal RNA
Source: RNAcentral
AUUGAACGCUGGCGGCAUGCUUUACACAUGCAAGUCGAACGGCAGCGCGGGCUUCGGCCUGGCGGCGAGUGGCGAACGGGUGAGUAAUACAUCGGAACGUGCCCAGUAGUGGGGGAUAGCUCGGCGAAAGCCGGAUUAAUACCGCAUACAACCUGAGGGUGAAAGCGGGGGAUCUUCGGACCUCGCGCUAUUGGAGCGGCCGAUGGCAGAUUAGCUAGUUGGUGGGGUAAAGGCCUACCAAGGCGACGAUCUGUAGCUGGUCUGAGAGGACGACCAGCCACACUGGGACUGAGACACGGCCCAGACUCCUACGGGAGGCAGCAGUGGGGAAUUUUGGACAAUGGGCGAAAGCCUGAUCCAGCAAUGCCGCGUGUGUGAUGAAGGCCUUCGGGUUGUAAAGCACUUUUGGCGGGAACGAAAAGGACUGUGCCAAUACCACGGUUCGAUGACGGUACCCGCAGAAUAAGCACCGGCUAACUACGUG